AAAACUCAAUGGUCACACGUGCUCCACGUCACCUAAUAUGUGUUGUCCAAGUGUUAGGCUUGAAAAUUCGCCACAUGUGUAGGAGCGUGUGAGAAUGUGAUCGGUAACAAUGUCUCACAUUGGAAGUUGAAAAAUCUAGUAAGGGCUUAUAAUGAGUUGGGCUACUUCCCCUAUUACCAAUUGGUUUUGAGGUGGAACCUCAACUUCAUUCAUAGACAACAUAUGCUAAAGCUAAAUUUUGGCAAAGUGGUGGUAUAAUAAGCAUGAGAAUGUGCAAACAUAGGCUUAGCCAAGUUGGCUAGAGUGGAUGUGCUUCUCAUUCUACAUUGAUCUGAGUUUGAAUCUCCCUCUCUGUAAUUUAGAUUAAUUUAAAAUAGGCUUUUGCUUGUAUUAAAAAUAAAUAAAUAUAUAUAUGUAUAAAACAAAGCAUGAGAAGGUUUUUCAAAGCGUGGUCGAGGGUGAAAGCCGCUUCGUAUUAGGGCUCUAUAUUGUCUUUGUUAUUAAGGUUAAAGAUGAGUCAUCGGCCAGUGCAAAUUAUGAUGUUGAAGUCUGGGAUCAUUAUGGUUUAUGAGAUUUCAUAUCCUUCCG
This 588-nucleotide long non-coding RNA is filed under the name Prunus persica (peach). RNAcentral's name for it is "long non-coding RNA (PPER_LNC006568)". The record is from RNAcentral. Lineage: Eukaryota; Viridiplantae; Streptophyta; Magnoliopsida; Rosales; Rosaceae.